UACGGGGGGGGCAAGCGUUGUUCGGAAUUACUGGGCGUAAAGGGCUCGUAGGCGGCCCACUAAGUCAGACGUGAAAUCCCUCGGCUUAACUGGGGAACUGCGUCUGAUACUGGAGGGCUUGAGUUCGGGAGAGGGAUGCGGAAUUCCAGGUGUAGCGGUGAAAUGCGUAGAUAUCUGGAGGAACACCGGUGGCGAAGGCGACAUCCUGGACCGACACUGACGCUGAGGAGCGAAAGCUAGGGGAGCAAACGGG
RNAcentral lists this ribosomal RNA (253 nucleotides) under uncultured Acidobacteriota bacterium. Its description in RNAcentral is "uncultured Acidobacteria bacterium partial 16S ribosomal RNA". It matches the Rfam family "Bacterial small subunit ribosomal RNA", at positions 524 to 776 of the family's 1533-position model. Lineage: Bacteria; Pseudomonadati; Acidobacteriota. The record is from RNAcentral.